GGGUGUAUAGCUCAAUUGGCAGAGCACCGGACUCUUAAUCCGUUGGUUGAAGGUUCGAUUCCUUCUACACCUA
This 73-nucleotide transfer RNA is filed under the name Pseudomonadota bacterium. RNAcentral describes it as "Proteobacteria bacterium (gut metagenome) tRNA-Lys". It matches the Rfam family "tRNA". From Rfam's summary of the family: Transfer RNA (tRNA) molecules are approximately 80 nucleotides in length. Lineage: Bacteria; Pseudomonadati; Pseudomonadota. The record is from RNAcentral.